AGUGUUUUAACAGUAGGACUCACUAAUCACAUAAAUUCUUUUUAAUCCAAAAAAUGACGUAUAGAUAUAGUUGAAACUGAGUGAAAGAGAAUGGUAUAGACACUGCAUCACACUCAUCUUAACAACUAAAACAUUCCAACAUCCAUUGUAGAAAAAGAAAGAGUAUUAUCAUCGUUCUCGUAUCUCAAUAUGAUACAACAACAAUGAGUCCUCCAUAUUCUCGACCACCAUGUUCACCCUAUUAUCCAUACUAUUCUCCUCCACCACAAAACCCUUUCCACCACCUCCACCACCACCUUCAAACUGUAACACGACCAAACCUCCAACUCCCAUUUCCUGUAACUGUUCAGGCCUUCCCAAUCCUCCUAUUGUUCCUCCUUCCCCUUCUCCAAUCACAUCCUACGUACUCUUCUCCUCCUCCUCCU
Molecule: long non-coding RNA, 425 nt
Filed under: Vigna radiata
Lineage: Eukaryota; Viridiplantae; Streptophyta; Magnoliopsida; Fabales; Fabaceae
Description: long non-coding RNA (VRAD_LNC009808)
Source: RNAcentral